This is a long non-coding RNA of Capra hircus (goat), 1166 nucleotides long. RefSeq lists it as uncharacterized. The transcript is spliced from 2 exons. The record is from RefSeq and is a predicted model, not a curated record. NCBI's taxonomy places the organism in Eukaryota, Metazoa, Chordata, Mammalia, Artiodactyla, Bovidae.
AUCAUGAUGGCGAAGGCUGCAAGACAGGACCGCGGUCAGAAAGGCAGGGAGGAGGGGCAGCCGCGCCCGGGCCCUGUCUCGGGUCUGGGGGCGGCAACUGCAGGACCCGAGCCCCGAGAGAAAGCGCAUUAAGAUUCCCAAGGCUGGGAGAGUCGUCCUCGGGGGCAGGCCAGCAGUGGCUGCUGUACAGGAGUGUGUGUGUGUGUGUGUGUGUGUGUGUGUAGCGUUGCUGGGCACAGCAGAAGGGCGAUCAGUGGAGUAGCCGCGGGCUGUCCCCUUGGAGGAGUGCAGGCUCCCUACAGCCCAGGGCUCUGGGGGUAGGGGUUUCCUGCAAGCCUCCUGGCAUGGGCAGGCCUGGAGUAGGGUGCUGGUCGCUCUUCUCCCUUUGGUUUAAAGACUGGGUUGUCUGAGGAUUGAGGGGUGGGGUGGAGGGCAUGGAGCCCUUGGGAGGAGCCAUCCUCCUGGGCGGGGGCCACGGAGGAUGGCGGCCUUGGGUGGAGGACGGGACCGAGUCACUCGAGGCAAGAAAUGGCACUGGGGGCCAAUGCUGCAGGAGCUGAGGCCAAGGCUAGAGGCUGAGGCUGUGUGGCUCUGUUCUCCUGGACAGGUAGGGGACAGGAAGGACUCUGCCUCGGGUGUGCUGCAGAAAGGGAAGGGGAUCGGGGACUGUUGAGAGCAGACAGAGCUCCGGGCUGGCUGCACUCUUACAGCGGCCCUGAUACCACGAGCCGGUGCUCCUGAACAUCAGCGCCUGGAAGACAGACGCACUUGCUGAUCCUGUGGACGCCAAGUCUCUGGCUUCCCGAAUCUGUUAUCCAGAGUUCCCAGAACGGCCACUGCUAGGCGCUCUGCACACCCAGAGACCCACGGCAUUCCUGUCUCCAGUGCCAGGGUCCACACACCCCUGCUGUCUCUGCUCAGACCAGACCUGGCAGCCCCUCCAGCCUGGGCCCCCACGACUCAGAAGGGAGCCCUUUCUCCGAGGACGCCCGGGAAGCCAGACUGCCAUCUGCCCACAGUGACACUUGGGAGCAGGACGGAUGGAACUGUCAUCUAUUACUUUUAAUCGGAGCUGCCGACGCUGCCGGGCACUAGUCGGGAGGAGGGGAGCCAGGAAACAGGCCGUGGAAAUUGCCAAUAAAGACGAUUUGUUUCUGAGGCUCUCA